This is a long non-coding RNA of Pocillopora damicornis (cauliflower coral), 963 nucleotides long. NCBI's taxonomy places the organism in Eukaryota, Metazoa, Cnidaria, Anthozoa, Scleractinia, Pocilloporidae. The record is from RefSeq and is a predicted model, not a curated record.
CAAUUUCAAGUGUUGGAGCUCUGUUUGAUAACAAGUGGUAUGCCCCUUACAUGGAGUUAUUCCGUUGUUUGUUGUUCCUCGUUGUUGAUCUUGUGCUGUCUUCUCAAAACUUAGACACUGGAGUUCUUCCUGCUGCUUACAUCGGUGUUAUUCGUGGAAUUUUCAUUGCAUCUGCGUUUCUCUGGAUAAUUGGUUCGUUGGUGAGCAAGAGCAAGUUAAAGAUCCAGUGAACCUAGAUAGCAUUCGCUCACGGGCUAAUUGUCGUGAUUACGAUUUCCAACCAAUAGAAGGUUAUAUUAUCACCUGUUUGCUCAACAUCCUUAGAUCGUCAUGUCGGCAUAACAGGCUUCCAGAAAGUAGAUAACAGUGAACCCGAUUACACUCAUUAUUUAGGUUUUAUAUCUCACUCGGAGGUAUAAAAGAACUAACAUUAGAGAAUAUUUAUGUUUUACUACCGAAUUCGUAAUAGCAAAUGAUUUUCCACAUUCUCUACAAUACAUUACUUAACAUUUUAGCUCUGAGAAUGAGGUUUUAUUUAUCAAGCGAGAUUCCUUUGGUGAUUUUUUAAAUUUGUGUCAAUUCAAGUACAUCACGUCGGUUUUAUUGUUUUAUCUUCUCAUUUCCUUCCUUCGUCAAAAUGUAUCGAUGUUGUAAGGAGAAAUUCAGUUUUGGCUGCUUUUGAGAUUGAAAAGGUUUACAGAUUUUACGAGAAAGCGUGACUAGUACUGGUACCGGCCGCUAAAAAAAAAAAUUAGUUAGAUAGGGUAAGUAGCUUCACCGUAGCACCUUUUAACACUGAAUUGAAAGACUCCGGAGUAUUAUAGAUAAUGAGGAGAAGGAAAAGUAAUGAUGACCUUUAUUCAGGUCUGUGUUGAUACUAAAACUAACUUUGUGGCUGAUGAAGCCCUUCCAAAGGGAACCUUACCACUGUAAAAUAAAUUGAAUGAAAACCUGGUACACCUA